This 258-nucleotide ribosomal RNA is filed under the name uncultured bacterium. RNAcentral describes it as "partial 16S ribosomal RNA". It matches the Rfam family "Bacterial small subunit ribosomal RNA", at positions 524 to 776 of the family's 1533-position model. The record is from RNAcentral.
UACGUAGGGUGCGAGCGUUAAUCGGAAUUACUGGGCUAAAGCGUGCGCAGGCGGUGAUGUAAGACAGGUGUGAAAUCCCCCGGGCUUAACCUGGGAACUGCAUUUGUGACUGCAUCGCUGGAGUGCGGCAGAGGGGGGAUGGAAUUCCGCGUGUAGCAGUGAAAAUGCGUAGAGAUGUGGAGGAAUACCGAUGGCGAAGGCAGCCCCCCUGGGCCAAUACUGACGCUCAUGCACGAAAAGCGUGGGGGAGCAAACAGG